AACCCGAGCUCACGGCUGAACCUGUCUGCGGGGUUCAGUACAGACGUUGUCGCCACGCGGCAGCUGUCCUCCUGGGGAGAACGGUGCCUGGCGAUACCCAGAUACCCACGUGCCUUCCCAAGACACCUGCAAACUCCAGAGCGCUCCCUCCCAUCUACUCAGAGUCAGCCUUCGGGCCUUGCCACCUCCUCAGUCCAGCCCAGCCUUUGUCCCUCCAGGACAGCCACAAAACGACCACCAUCUCGGAAAGGAUCUCAGGCGAAUCUUCUGAAUAGGAGCCAUGUCCUCCCAGGAACGAGCCCCAACCCUGGAAUGUCAGGUGCUCGGAUGGGCCCAGGUCCCAAGAGUCAGGAAGACAGGUAUGGGAUGGGGUGAAAUUUCCAAAAUACCAAGCCAUCUACUCUAUGCACCACUUCAACUCCAGAAUCUAUGUGAAAGCUGAGAAACACAGACAGACAGGAGAGAGAGAGAGAGAGAGAGAGAGAGAGAGCGCUUUAGUUAAAAAACCAGGAGAUCUGGGUUCUAUUUCAGCAAUGACAUUGCUUUAGUGACCCAAGCAGUUUCCUUCCCACUGGGUUUUGAUUUUCUUCUUGAGACUACUAAAAGCAUAAGUAGCAGCCAAGGAGUUACAGGUUUCAAGGGUUUGAGAAGAAGGCUCUAGGAAGGAGCCCUUGUCUAGCCUGUUGGGCAAUGAACACAGGGCCAGAGGUCCAUAUGGUGCAGGCAGAAUCAUAACUGGGUGUGACCGCACAGGGCUUUUUAAAUUUUUUAAAAAGAUUUAUUUAUUUGAAAGACAGAGUUACAGACAGAGAUAAAGAAUCUUCCAUCCACUGGUUCACUCCCAAAAUGGUCGCAAAGACCAGGACCGGGCCAGACCAAAGCCAGGAACCUGGAGCUUCAUCUGGGUCUCCUACGUGGGUGCAGGGGCCCAAGCACUUGGGCCAUCUUCUUCUGCAGCUUUCUCAGGUACAUUUAGCAGGGAGCCAGAUAGGAUGUGGAGCAGCCAGGACUCCAACCAGCACUCAUAUCUGAUGCUGGUGCCGCAGGCAGCAGCCUUACCUGUUUUGUUUUGUUUGUUUGUUUUUUGACAGGCAGAGUGGACAGUGAGAGAGAGAGACAGAGAGAAAGGUCUUCCUUUGCCAUUGGUUCACCCUCCAAUGGCCGCCAUGGCUGGCGCACCACGCUGAUCUAAAGCCAGGAGCCAGGUGCUUCUCCUGGUCUCCCAUGGGGUGCAGGGCCCAAGCACUUGGGCCAUCCUCCACUGCACUCCCUGGCCACAGCAGAGAGCUGGCCUGGAAGAGGGGCAACGGGGACAGAAUCUGGUGCCCCGACCGGGACUAGAACCUGGUGUGCUGGCGCCGCAGGCAGAAGAUUAGCCUAUUGAGCCACGGUGUCGGCCAGCCUUACCUGUUAUGCCACACUGCCAACCCCUGAACAGGCCUUUGUCUUGCAACAUGUGGGAGACAUGGAUGAAGCUUCUGGCUCCUGGUUUCAGCCAGCCCAGCUCCAGUCAUUGAGGCCAUCUGGGGUGCAAACCAACAGAUGGAAGCUUUCUCUCUCUCUCUCUUUCUCUCUCUCUCUCUCUCUCUCUCUCUGUGUGUGUGUGUGUGUGUGUAAAACUCUCCAUUUCAAAUAAAUAAAUAAAUCUUAAAAUUAAAAAAAAAGCA
This 1667-nucleotide long non-coding RNA is filed under the name Oryctolagus cuniculus (rabbit). RNAcentral's name for it is "lncRNA (ENSOCUG00000038680.1)". Lineage: Eukaryota; Metazoa; Chordata; Mammalia; Lagomorpha; Leporidae. The record is from RNAcentral.